CCGACAAAUCUUUCGUUAUCAUUUUAUAAUGAUUGGCUUACGCAAAAUAACCAUCCCAGAGAAACAUGGAACAUUCGUUGUGCACAUUUUUUUUUUUCUACAAACGGUUAACCUUUUCGUUAUCAACCUAUUACGGCCAUAUGUCAAAACGGUUAAUUAAAUUCAAUUAAAUUUGUCUCUAAUAAUAUUUCUAUUUCUCUUUAUUCCUAAUAUUUCGAUUUUUAAUUCAUAAUUUACUAAUCUAGAGAAUAUUGAAAAUAGUACUCGUCUGCAAAGGAUCAAUAUUCAAUUUCAAAUCAACUCUCAACUCGAUUUUUUGAUCGAAAAGACAACGAAAACAUUAACCGUUUCUUCCAGAAUAUUUUAAACGUAACAAGUUUCUCCAAGUGAUUCGAAAAGCGAGCAAAGCGAGAUUUUGGAAUGAAAAUCAAGCGGUACAUACGUACAAAAUGCGUCAAAUUGACGACAAAAGAGGACAAAGGAUGCAUCAGCCAUACAUGUUCGAGCAACGUGCUAAAAUGAUAUAAGACAUGCUGGAUACACCGAGAAGCGUGCAGUAAAUGGUAAACAAUUUAAAACCAACAGGCGCAUGCAGGUUGCAGAAGUGAGGAGAUCAGUAGGUCAGGAGCAGGGACAAACUCUUUUGCAAUUCUUUAUAUAAAUACUUCAAUCGAUACCUGAUUUGGAUCGAAUCUUCUCGAAUCUUUUCACAUUCUCGAUUUACGUGAAGAGAGAGAGAGAGUGGGGAGGGGAGGUGAAGAAAGGAGAGAGUGGGGAAGAAGGAGAGAGUGGUGGGAGGAAAGGAGAGUGGGGAAGAAAGGUGAGAGUGGAGGGGGAAGAGAAGAAAAGGUAAGAGAAUCGAAGAAUUAUCCUGAAUAUAAAUAUAUAUAUAUAUAUCGUCUGUUUGUUGAUUCUGCCUCCUUCCAUCAAGUUUUCUGGCCAAAAAUGAACCAUGUACCGCAUUACCUGUACAUGCACAAUACGAUGACGCAAUUCGUGCAUGAGUCAUCGCGUGGCUGCAAAACUUCUUCUUUCACGAUCCUCUCGCAGAUCUUGGCAGCUUCACUUACCUUGCGGUCGACGGUGGGCAUGAAUUCCAUCACGUGGGUGCUGUUAAUCGAUUAUUAUUCCUCGAAAAACCACACAGGGUGUUAAGGCGUAAAGGGAGAGUUCGGAUAUUUUGUACACGAUUCGAAAACAUUUGGCAUCUUCGAAAUUUGAAGAAAUGAGAAAAAUUAAACUUUUUAAUCAAUUUCGAAAAUUUAAUUUUUGGCACGAAGGCAAUAUUCCCUUUCGAAGAAGAUCGAUAUUGAUUUAAUUUUUUUUUUCUGAUUUUUCGAAACGAAUAAUCGUUUUCGAAUCGAAUCGAAUUUCGAGGAUAAUUAAAACAAUAAAGAAAAUCACUCGUGGCUUAAUUUUCCGAAACGAGUGAUUAUUUUUGAAAAUUCUCUGAAAUCGUAUCAAAAUAAUUGAAGUUGAACUUGCAACCAUUUGGAGAAUCAGAACAGGAUUACUAUCAUUUUCUUUUUUUUUUCUCUCUCGAUACACAGCAGGGAAAUUGGAAAGAUCAUGGGAACGAGCGGCUGGGCUGAUGCCGCGGGAAACAAAUAUUCGUGGAAUCGAAUCGAUCACAGAGCCGGCGACCGGCGAAAGAACCAUCCAUCUAGCAAUUUCACGAUAAGGCACCAAAUUGAUUCCCACGAGGUAUUCGAUGAGAUGACGAAUAACGGUGAGACAGAGGACGAGAAUCACAGUGAAAACACGCAUCAAUAACUAGCCGACUCAUCCUCUCUGGAUUUAGUGGAGGCUGAUAUAAUCGAUGGAUACCGCUUUCGAUACGUUCCAUCAUGCCUUCAUCAAUACUGCGCGAAUAUACACUUCGUUACUCUGUACAAUACAUCGCGAUGUCGUCCAUUUUAGUCAACCUACCGCCACCAUUCCCUUUUACAUCGCGUCCCACUCUGUUUGCUUUUCAUAUGAUUAUUACGCUCAUGCUACGAAUAUUUGCCGAAUAUCGAACCGAAUAUCGAGUUAUAGUUUUACUUUCUCGAUUUAUAACAGUUAUGCGUGACAAACGUGAACUUUUGUCAAAUUGGAAACGAAGAGGAACAAUCGUGCAACAAGAUACCGUUUUCAAUGAAAAAUAUUUACACGUUCUUUAAAAAAUAAAAAACAGAUCGUUCGAUUUUGAGAAGAAUUACACACAAAUUAUACAGAUAUAUACAAGAAUUUCGUAAGCUGCGAAAGAAAAGAUGCUUUCGCGUGAUAUUCUGCAUACAGACAAUUCACGACAGCGAGGGAUUUAUUAAAAAAGAUUGAAUUAAAAAGACGUGCAGAAAAUGGAUAUAAUAAUAGCUACAUACUACAUACGGAGGAGAAAAAAUUAAAAGGGAAACGGGACGAAUCUAAGAAUUGCUGUAUACUCCAUUUUCUAAGAGAAACUGAAGAGAAAUAUUUACAAAAGAUGUCCUUUUCGCAAGGAGCUGCGUUUAUCAGUAUCUACUACAAUGUCUACUUUCGUUAGAGAGUGCAGAGAGAUAUAUAUAUAUGUAUACAUGACAACAUGCUACCGGUGCUUUCCAAGUUCAUUCGGGAGGACUUCCUGGCCCCCCCGAACACUUGUAAGCGAGAAUAUACAGGAGGAGAGUACCUUGAAGUAACUAGAACCUCCAUAGGUGGCAAAUAUUUUCAUACUGUCUUUUAUAUCUUUGAAAAAAAUUGUCCAUCAUUGUUGCGUUAUUGCUUAUUCGAGAUAUAAAAAAAAA
Apis mellifera (honey bee) is the source of this 2765-nucleotide long non-coding RNA. RefSeq lists it as uncharacterized. The record is from RefSeq and is a predicted model, not a curated record. Lineage: Eukaryota; Metazoa; Arthropoda; Insecta; Hymenoptera; Apidae. The transcript is spliced from 6 exons.